ACCACAUGUAAUAUGACAUGUAUUAAGUAAAAUACAUCUUUAUGGAUCAGGGAAAACUUAGCAGCCUUAAUGUGCAUUUAAUUUAUAAUUAGUUGAACUAAUGUUUAGUUGAUUUAAUUUCAGCAUUUAGUCUCUACGAACCACAACUGUGCCAGGAUUUAGCUAGAUGCAUACUUUACUUAGUUC
Cyprinodon variegatus (sheepshead minnow) is the source of this 186-nucleotide long non-coding RNA. RefSeq lists it as uncharacterized. The record is from RefSeq and is a predicted model, not a curated record. Lineage: Eukaryota; Metazoa; Chordata; Actinopteri; Cyprinodontiformes; Cyprinodontidae. The transcript has 3 exons.